GAUCCCUGGCUCAGAUUGAACGCUGGCGGCAUGCCUUACACAUGCAAGUCGAACGGUAACAGGUCUUCGGAUGCUGACGAGUGGCGAACGGGUGAGUAAUACAUCGGAACGUGCCCGAUCGUGGGGGAUAACGGAGCGAAAGCUUUGCUAAUACCGCAUACGAUCUACGGAUGAAAGCAGGGGACCGCAAGGCCUUGCGCGGACGGAGCGGCCGAUGGCAGAUUAGGUAGUUGGUGGGAUAAAAGCUUACCAAGCCGACGAUCUGUAGGCUGGUCUGAGAGGACGACCAGCCACACUGGGACUGAGACACGGCCCAGACUCCUACGGGAGGCAGCAGUGGGGAAUUUUGGACAAUGGGCGAAAGCCUGAUCCAGCCAUGCCGCGUGCAGGAUGAAGGCCUUCGGGUUGUAAACUGCUU
This 418-nucleotide ribosomal RNA is filed under the name Acidovorax sp. R-27044. RNAcentral describes it as "bacterial SSU rRNA". It matches the Rfam family "Bacterial small subunit ribosomal RNA", at positions 15 to 435 of the family's 1533-position model. Lineage: Bacteria; Pseudomonadati; Pseudomonadota; Betaproteobacteria; Burkholderiales; Comamonadaceae. The record is from RNAcentral.